This 446-nucleotide ribosomal RNA is filed under the name uncultured Atopobium sp. RNAcentral's name for it is "bacterial SSU rRNA". It matches the Rfam family "Bacterial small subunit ribosomal RNA", at positions 338 to 795 of the family's 1533-position model. The record is from RNAcentral. Lineage: Bacteria; Bacillati; Actinomycetota; Coriobacteriia; Coriobacteriales; Atopobiaceae.
CCUACGGGCGGCUGCAGUGGGGAAUCUUGCGCAAUGGGCGAAAGCCUGACGCAGCGAUGCCGCGUGCGGGAUGAAGGCCUUCGGGUCGUAAACCGCUUUCAGCAGGGACGAGGCCGCAAGGUGACGGUACCUGCAGAAGAAGCCCCGGCUAACUACGUGCCAGCAGCCGCGGUAAUACGUAGGGGGCGAGCGUUAUCCGGAUUCAUUGGGCGUAAAGCGCGCGUAGGCGGCCUGUUAGGUCAAGAGUUAAAUCCGGGGGCUCAACCCCCGUCCGCUCCUGAUACCGGCAGGCUUGAGUCUGGUAGGGGAAGGCGGAAUUCCAAGUGUAGCGGUGGAAUGCGCAGAUAUUUGGAAGAACACCGGUGGCGAAGGCGGCCUUCUGGGCCACGACUGACGCUGAGGCGCGAAAGCUAGGGGAGCAAACAGGAUUAGAUACCCUAGUAGUC